CCUACGGGUGGCAGCAGUGGGGGAUAUUGGACAAUGGGGGAAACCCUGAUCCAGCGACGCCGCGUGAGUGAAGAAGUAUUUCGGUAUGUAAAGCUCUAUCAGCCGGGAAGAAAGAAAUGACGGUACCUGAGUAAGAAGCCCCGGCUAACUACGUGCCAGCAGCAGCGGGAAUACGUAGGGGGCAAGCGUUAUCCGGAAUUACUGGGUGUAAGGGGAGCUAAGACGGUACUGCAAGUCUGGAGUGAAGGGCGGGGGCCUAACCCCCGGACUGCUUUGGAAACUGUGUAACUGGAGUGCAGGAGAGGCAGGCGGAAUUCAUAGUGUAGCGGUGAAAUGCGUAGAUAUUAGGAGGAACCCCAGUGGCGAAGGCGGCCUGCUGGACUGCAACUGACGUUGAGGCUCGAAAGUGUGGGGAGCAAACAGGAUUAGAUACCCCGGUAGUC
This 443-nucleotide ribosomal RNA is filed under the name uncultured bacterium. RNAcentral describes it as "partial 16S ribosomal RNA". It matches the Rfam family "Bacterial small subunit ribosomal RNA", at positions 338 to 795 of the family's 1533-position model. The record is from RNAcentral.